UUGUGGAUGCUCUUGAUACAG
Molecule: non-coding RNA, 21 nt
Filed under: Arabidopsis thaliana (thale cress)
Lineage: Eukaryota; Viridiplantae; Streptophyta; Magnoliopsida; Brassicales; Brassicaceae
Source: RNAcentral